RNAcentral lists this unclassified non-coding RNA (224 nucleotides) under plant metagenome. RNAcentral's name for it is "partial contains small subunit ribosomal RNA, internal transcribed spacer 1, and 5.8S ribosomal RNA". The record is from RNAcentral.
UCUCCGUUGGUGAACCAGCGGAGGGAUCAUUAUCGAGUUUACAACUCCCAAACCCCAUGUGAACCUUACCUAUCGUUGCUUCGGCGGGACCGCCCCGGCGCCUCUGUGCCCGGAUCCAGGCGCCCGCCGGAGACCACAAACUCUUAUGUUUUUGCAUAGCGGCAUUAUCUGAGUAUCAUUAAACAAAUGGAUCAAAACUUUCAACAACGGAUCUCUUGGUUCUG